UGAAAAUGGGUAAAAUGUGGUCAAAACUAGGUCAGUAGGUAUAAAAAUAGAAAAACCUUGUGACCUCUCUAGAGGCCAUACUCUUCAUGAGAUCUUCAUGAAAAUUGGUGAGAAUGUUCACCUUGAUGAUAUCUAGGUCAAAUUCAAAACUGGGUCAUGUGCCUUCAAAAACUAGGUCAUUAGGUCAAAUAAUAGAAAAACCUUGUGACCUCUCUAGAAGCCAUAUUUUUCAAUGGAUCUUCAUGAAAAUUGGGUCAUGUGGGGACAGGUGAGCGAUUCAGGACCAUCAUGGUCCUCUUGUUUAGCUCACCUGAGCACGAAGUGCUCAGAGGUGAGCUUUUGUGAUCGCCCUGUGUCCGUCGUCCGUCCGUCCGUCAUCAACAAUUUGACUGUUAACACUCUAGAAGUCACAUUUUUGGCCCAAUCUUAAUGAACUUGGUCAGAAUGUUACCCUCAAUAAAAUCUUGGACGAGUUCGAUAUCGGGUCAUCUGGGGUCAAAAACUAGGUCACCAAGUCAAAUCAAAGGAAAAGCUUGUUAACACUCUAGAGGUCACAAUUUUGGCCCAAUCUUAAUGAAACUUGGUCAGAAUGUUACCCUUAAUAAAAUCUUGGACAAGUUCAGUAUUGGGUCAUCUGGGGUCAAAAACUAGGUCACCAGGUCAAAUCAAAGGAAAAGCUUGUUAACACUCUAGAGGUCACAUUUUUGGCCCAAUCUUAAUGAAACUUGGUCAGAAUGUUACCCUUAAUAAAAUAUUGGACGAGUUCGAUAUUGGGUCAUCUGGGUCAAAAACUAGGUCACCAGGUCAAAUCAAAGGAAAAGCUUGUUAACACUAGAGGUCACAAUUUUGGCCCAAUCUUAAUGAAACUUGGUCAGAAUGUUACCCUAAAUAAAAUCUUGGACGAAUUCGAUAUUGGGUCAUCUGGGAUCAAAAACUAGGUCACAAGGUCAAAUCAAAGGAAAAGCUUGUUAACACUCUAGAGGUCACAAUUUUGGCCCAAUCUUAAUGAAACUUGGUCAGAAUGUUACCCUUAAUAAAAUCUUGGACAAAUUCGAUAUUGGGUCAUCUGGGGUAAAAAACUAGGUCACCAGGUCAAAUCAAUGGAAAAGCUUGUUAACACUCUAGAGGUCACAAUUUUGGCCCAAUCUUAAUGAAACUUGAUCAGAGUGUUAUCCUUAAUAAAGUCUUGGACGAUUUCGAUAUUGGGUCAUCUGGGGUCAAAAACUAGGUCACAAGGUCAAAUCAAAGGAAAAGCUUGUUAACACUGUAGAGGCCAUAUUUAUGACUUUAUCUUCAUGAAACUGGGUCACAUGCCAUCAAAAACUAGGUCAGUAGGUCAGAUAAUAAUAACAACUUGUGACCUCUCUAGAGGCAAUAUUUUUCAUGGGAUCUGUAUGAAAGUUGGUCUGAAUGUUCAUCUUGAUAAUGUCUAGGUCAAGUUCGAAACUGGGUCACCUGGGGUCAAAAAUUAGGUCAGUAGGUCUAAAAAUAGAAAAACCUUUUGACCACUCUAGAGGCCAUAUUUUUCAAUGGAUCUUCAUGAAAAUUUGUCUGAAUGUUUACCUUGAUGAUAUCUAGAUAAAGUUUGAAACUGGGUCACGUGUGGUCAAAACUAGGUCAGUAGGUAUAAAAAUAGAAAAACCUUGUGACCUCUCUAGAGGCCAUACUCUUCAUGAAAAUUGGUGAGAGUGUUCAUCUUGAUGAUAUCUAGGUCAAGUUCAAAACUGGGUCAUGUGCCUUCAAAAACUAGGUCAUUAGGUCAAAUAAUAGAAAAACCUUGUGACCUCUCUAGAAGCCAUAUUUUUCAAUGGAUCUUCAUGAAAAUUGGGUCAUGUGGGGACAGGUGAGCGAUUCAGGACCAUCAUGGUCCUCUUGUUUAGCUCACCUGAGCACAAAGUGCGUAAAGGUGAGCUUUUGUGAUCGCCCUGUGUCCAUUGUCCGUCCGUCCGUCGUCUGUCCGUCCGAUAUUGGGUCAUCUGAGGUCAAAAACUAGGUCACCAAGGCCAAAUCAAAGGAAAAGCUUGUUAACAUUCUAGAGGUCACAAUUUUGGCCCAAUCUUAAUGAAACUUGGUCAGAGUGUUAUCCUCAAUAAAGUCUUGGACGAGUUCGAUAUUGGGUCAUCUGGGGUCAAAAACUAGGUCACCAGGACAAAUCAAAGGAAAAGCUAGUUAACACUUCAGAGGCCACAUUUAUGACAUAUCUUAAUGAAACUUGAUCAGAAUGUUAAUCUUGAUGAUCUUUAGGUCAAGUUUAAAUCUGGGUCAGGUGGGGUCAAAAACUAGGUCACUAGGUCAUAUCAAAGGAAAAGCUUGUUAACACUCUAGAGGCCACAUUUAUGACUGUAUCUUCAUGAAACUUAGUCAAAAUGUUAAACUUGAUGAUCUUUAGGUCAAGUUCGAAUCUGGGUCAUGUCGGGUCAAAAACUAGGUCACAGGGUCAAAUCAGAGGAAUAGCUAGUUAACACUUGAGGCCACAUUUAUGACCAUAUCUUAAUGAAACUUGGUCAGAAUGUUAAUCUUGAUGAUCUUUAGGUCAAUAGGUCAGGUGAGCGAUACAGGGCCUUCAUGGCCUUCUUGUUUGAAUAUUAGAAUUAUGAAGUAGAAUUCAAAUAUUUAUGUAAUGAACAAAUAUACGAAUAAUCCUUGCCAACUCUAGUUCUUACACUGAACACUGUAGUUGCAAUCUAUAUUUGUGCCAAGGUCUUUUCUGUUCUCUUUGCCAGUUAAGUCGGGACUGGACAUACAAAUAUCUCAUUUUAUCUCAGUUCAUUUUUUUUUUUUACAAUUAUAGUGAUUAAUUUUACAGUACUAUACAAUAUUAAAAAUAUCGUUGAGGGUUUAUAUACCCCACCAAACAUGUUUGUGGGGUGCUAUGUAGGAGUCAGUUUUGUCACGUCCCGUCCCGUUGCGUCUUGUCCAGUCCUGUACUGUCCAGGAAUCUAUAUCUCGGUUAUUACUAAAUGGAUUUGAUUCAAACUUAAAAUAGAUGUUCCACCUUAUUACCCACAUCAUGUGACACAAGAUGCAUAACUCUGACACCAAUUUUUCAUGAAUUGUGUCCCCUUUUACUUAGAAUUUAGGGUUUUUAAAGUUUUGAUGCAUUUCAGGGUUCAUACAGAUCUUGGAUACAAGAAUUCCAUGACUUUUCCAUGACAUUGCCUGGUUUUCCAUGACGCAAUCCAAACAUACGAAACUCGAAAUAAAUGCAAUGAUACACUCAUUUUAUUGGCAUACAAAGACUAUUUAUUUCAAACUAUUUGCAAAAUAAGACUUCAGUUGUUUUUUUUUGUUUUUUUCAAGAGUAAAGUUCAAGUUCCAACAGCUGUUUACUCUUUUUGUUUUAGUGAGUCAAGUUUAUGGUCAAGUUUAAGGUCCAACUGCUCUAAUUCCUGUUGCUUUUCUUUAGCAGUCCUUCUCAAAGAGUUAGCUUGGGUCACAAAUGCUAUCUCUCCUGUGGUUUCUGCGUUGUCACACAAUUUUUCACUUGCAGAAGUUAAAUCUUGAACCUCCUGUUCAAGCUUAGUCUUUUUCUUUUUCAAUUCUGAGAUUUCUUCCAGUUAGUGUUGUAUCGGCAACUUCUUUUCUGACUCAUAUUUUACUAUUUUUAGCUAUUUCACGCUUAAUUUCGUUUUUAAAAGUACAACAAAAAUAAACCGGAAACGGUGCAAUAGUAAACUUAACGGUCAUUUCGUACCCAACCAGAUUCGACCCCAAUAUUGACGUAAAUUACUGAUGAUAUUAAAUUAAAACAGUUGUAAUCGUUUUAUGCACAUACAGACUUAUUCCAGAUCACUUUCCUACUUUCCAUGAUGAUUUUUAAAUUUUCCAUGACAUUUCCAUGACAAAAUGCAAUAAUUCAAUUUUCCCCGACUUUUCCAGACAAAUCUCAUUUUCCAUGACUUUUCCAGACCUGUGCGACCCUGGCAUUUUCACUAUAUCUCAGUUAUUACGAAAUGCAUUUGAUUCAAACUUGAAGUAGUUGUUCCACAUCAUCACCCACAUAAUAUGACACAAGGUGCAUAACUCUUGCACCAAUAUUUCUUGAAUUAUGCACCCUUUUUGCUUAGAAUUAUACUUAUAUAGUGUUUUGAUACACUUUAUCUGUACCUCUCUGAUUAUUUGAUAUUUUUAACACAGACUCAAGCUAUUGUGCAAUAUUCAUCCACCAUUGGAGUCAUUAAUUUCAAAUGUAACCUAUUUCAAACAAGGCUUUUGGUGGGGGUAUGAAUCACAUUUGGUAAUAGCUCUAGAUGAUUAAGAAAGUAGUAGGUUUUAUAGUAAACUGUGUUUUGGCUUUUUCGGUUGUAACUAUUUGUUUAAUGAGCUGUGUUAGCCUGUAUUUUAAUCAUGUUACAACUUUCGUAUACCUUACUUACGUUCUUUGAUGUCAGACAAGUUUCUCGCAUGUAACUGAUAGAAAAUCAUAAUUUGAUUUAGCUUCAACCCCUUGUUGGACUUCCUGGUUUACAAAAAAGGUUCAUAAUAGUAGAUAUAUAACCACUGAAAAAUAUGUAAUUUUCAAAUCUUGUGUACCUUAAAUAGCUGUGGUGGGUAAAUUAUAAUUAUUAUUUGUCUCAAGAGUUAUUUUACUAAUAUUAUUUCACAAUGUACCAGUAUGUUAUUUUCCUAUGUAUGUUGUACUGUGUACAUUAUUUAAGUGUAUAAUAUGCAAGAGAACAAGCUUAAUUAGACCUCUGAAUGAACGACAGCUUAUUCACAUACAUUGUUUUCUAUUUAGGGUUAUAGACAGUUAUAAAAAGGAUAAGAAUUCUGUAUCAGAGUGUUUAAUAAUACUUUGUUUUAGCUUAAUGCUUUGCUUGAAACAUAUCCUGUAGAAAAAUAGCUUCAUAUAACUUUAUAAGCAUGAGGGGUACUAUUUUUGAACUAUUGUAAUGAUGGGUUGCAUACACACACUAGAAUUUGACUAGUCGCGGAGCAGGGCUUUAAGACAUUGAACUGUACAUGUUUAUUGAAUUGAAAUCUUGAAAAAUGAUGUUCUUAACAAAGCCGACAAGUUUUAUAAACGGCAGAAGAGGAUUUGCUAGUCAGUACCUUUCUUUCAUUUGAUUGGUCAAGCAGUCAUUACAAGUUACUGUUCAAUUUGUAUAGCUAUAUAUUUCUCAAAACUGUGAUAAUAUCUUUUAUACUCAAUAAAAUUAAAUUUCUUUG
Molecule: long non-coding RNA, 5169 nt
Organism: Mercenaria mercenaria
Lineage: Eukaryota; Metazoa; Mollusca; Bivalvia; Venerida; Veneridae
Exons: 2
Source: RefSeq, a predicted model, not a curated record